This 276-nucleotide ribosomal RNA is filed under the name uncultured bacterium. RNAcentral's name for it is "partial 16S ribosomal RNA". It matches the Rfam family "Bacterial small subunit ribosomal RNA", at positions 524 to 794 of the family's 1533-position model. The record is from RNAcentral.
UACGUAGGGUGCGAGCGUUAAUCGGAAUUACUGGGCGUAAGGCGUGCGCAGGCGGUGACCCAAGUCAGAUGUGAAAUCCCCGGGCGUUAACCUGGGAACGUGCAUUUGUUGACUGCACGGCUAGAGUGUGUCAGAGGGGGGUAGGAAUUCCACGUGUAGCAGUGAAAUGCGUAGAUAUGUGGAGGAAUACCGAUGGCGAAGGCAGCCCCCGUGGGAUAACACUGACGCUCAUGCACGAAAGCGUGGGGAGCAAACAGGAUUAGAAACCCUAGUAGU